UGGAUGCUAUUCUCUGGGACUAAGCCAUGCAUGUUGAUGAACCUUGUGGGGGAUUGACGGACGGCUCAGUGAUAGUACGAUGAUUUGGUUGGCGGGAGAGCUGUAACUGCGGGAAACUGCAGGUAGGGGGCUAGGAGUGUUUUUGACACGAGCCAAGUAAGUUGUAGGCCUAUCAGCUGGUAGUUAGGGUAAUGGCCUAACUAGGCGGAGACGGGAGACGGGGGAUCGGGGUUUGAUUCCGGAGAGGGAGCCUGAGAGAUGGCUACUACGUCCAAGGAUGGCAGCAGGCGCGAAACUUGCCUAAUCCUUUGGGGAGGCGGUUAUGAGAAGUGAGUUUUUUUCGAGUGUAAAGGAGUCGAGAUUGAUUGGAGGGCAAGUCGGGUGCCAGCAGCCGCGGUAAUACCUGCUCCAAUAGUGUCUAUGGUGAAUGCUGCAGUUAAAAAGUCCGUAGUCUUUUGUAUGUCUUUGUUUGGGGGAUUAUGUCCUGAUGUGGAUGUAAGAGGUUUGGCAGAGGACGAGGGGCACCGGAUAGUUGGGCGAGGGGUGAAAUACGAAGACCCUGACUGGACGGACAGAAGCGAAGGCUGUGCUCUUGGACUUAUGUGACGAUGAAGGACGAAGGCUAGAGGAUCGAAAUCGAUUAGAUACCGUUUUAGUUCUAGCAGUAAACGAUGCCGACUGGACGGGACUAUAUAGUGUUGUGCAUGAGAAAUCUUGAGUAUGUGGGUUCUGGGGAUAGUAUGCUCGCAAGAGUGAAACUUGAAGAGAUUGACGGAAGGACACCACAAGGAGUGGAGUGUGCGGCUUAAUUUGACUCAACGCGGGGCAACUUACCGGUUCUGAAG
This 845-nucleotide ribosomal RNA is filed under the name Encephalitozoon intestinalis. RNAcentral describes it as "SSU rRNA". It matches the Rfam family "Microsporidia small subunit ribosomal RNA", at positions 24 to 863 of the family's 1311-position model. The record is from RNAcentral. Lineage: Eukaryota; Fungi; Microsporidia; Unikaryonidae.